GGCAACUCAUAGCCCUUUUAGGCAUCCAUAUAGCCCUAUAGGCAGAACAUAACCCUGGUAGGCAUAGAUCACAUUCCUGCAGCUAACAACAAUAGCCCAAAGUCAACAAUAACAAUCCAACAGCUAAAAGUGAGAAAUUUAGUUAUAGGCAACCUAUACAAAUAGCCUCUAAGUCGUGUCCCACAUACGAAUGUUACUACUGAAUAAGAAUCCUGAUAAGAGAGGAUUAUACGCACUCGAGCAACCAACAAUCAACAAUAAUGGCUAUAAGUAUAACAACGAUAACAACUCAAUUACAUUGCUCCUAAGCUUUAAGGAAACAUGCCAUAGGAAGAGAAUAGCCUUAACAUACCUUUUUCGCUAAAUUCACGUGGCCUAAAGACUUUAACUCAUAACUCCCUCGAUACUACAACAAGGUAGGACCAUAAUCAACACAUACAAUAAAAUAUACCAUGACAAUACAAUAAAAGAUAUGUAUUUCCGUCGCAAAUUGCUAUUUGCUGCUUAUAAAAGCUUGAGUUGAUGAAAGAAGGGUCUUACCUCGAUCUUAGGUUCGUAAUUCACCUCAAAACCUUCAAAUAUAUUCAAACCCCUGCUGUCCCAACU
This 606-nucleotide long non-coding RNA is filed under the name Solanum tuberosum (potato). RNAcentral's name for it is "long non-coding RNA (STUB_LNC009955)". The record is from RNAcentral. Lineage: Eukaryota; Viridiplantae; Streptophyta; Magnoliopsida; Solanales; Solanaceae.